ACAACUAAGCGCUCCUUUCCGCUCCACUGCGUGGGCCUCUGCCUCUCACCGGCUGUAGAAAAUGGUGAAAGAAACCACUUACUAUGAUGUUUUGGGAGUCAAACCCAAUGCCACUCACGAAGAAUUGAAGAAGGCAUAUAGAAAACUGGCCUUGAAGUACCACCCUGAUAAGAAUCCAAAUGAAGGCGAGAAGUUUAAACAGAUUUCUCAAGCUUAUGAAGUUCUCUCUGAUGCGAAGAAAAGGGAAUUAUAUGACAAAGGAGGAGAACAGGCGAUUAAAGAGGGUGGAGCAGGUGGUGGUUUUGGUUCCCCCAUGGACAUCUUUGAUAUGUUUUUUGGAGGAGGAGGAAGGAUGCAGAGAGAAAGGAGAGGUAAAAAUGUGGUACAUCAGCUCUCAGUUACCUUAGAAGAUUUAUAUAAUGGUGCCACAAGAAAACUGGCUCUGCAAAAGAAUGUGAUUUGCGACAAAUGUGAAGGCUGAGGUGGCAAAAAAGGAGCAGUAGAGUGCUGUCCCAAUUGCAGAGGUACUGAAUGCAAAUAAGAAUUCAUCAGAUAGGACCUGGAAUGGUUCAACAAAUUCAGUCUGUGUGCAUGGAGUGCCAGGGCCAUGGAGAACGGAUCAGUCCUAAAGAUAGAUGUAAAAGCUGCAAUGGAAGGAAGAUAGUUCGCGAGAAGAAGAUUCUGGAAGUUCAUAUUGACAAAGGCAUGAAAGAUGGCCAGAAGAUAACAUUCCAUGGUGAAGGAGACCAAGAACCAGGAUUGGAGCCAGGAGAUAUUAUCAUUGUGUUAGAUCGGAAGGACCAUGCUGUUUUUACUCGGUCAGAUUGUCAAGCAUGGAGAUACCAAGUGUGUGCUAAAUGAAGGCGUGCCAAUUUAUCGUAGACCAUAUGAAAAGGGUCGCCUAAUCAUCGAAUUUAAGGUAAACUUUCCUGAAAAUGGCUUUCUUUAUCCUGAUAAACUCUCAUUGCUGGAAAAACUUCUACCAGAGAGGAAGGAAGUAGAAGAGACUGAUGAAAUGGAUCAAGUAGAACUGGUGGACUUUGAUCCAAAUCAGGAAAGACGGCGCCAUGACAAUGGAGAAGCAUAUGAGGAUGAUGAACAUCAUCCCAGAGGUGGUGUUCAGUGUCAAACUUCUUAAUGAGACCAGUGAAUGACACUCAUGCUGGCAUUUUUGUGCAGUAACGAAUGAGUGAAGGACUGUAAUCAUAAUAUGCUCACUACUUGCUAUUGUUUCUGUUUUAAUAUUCAACUAUAGUAGUGUUUUAAA
This is an RNA transcript of Nycticebus coucang (slow loris), 1267 nucleotides long. It is a transcript of the gene named dnaJ homolog subfamily A member 1-like, with no coding region annotated. Lineage: Eukaryota; Metazoa; Chordata; Mammalia; Primates; Lorisidae. The record is from RefSeq and is a predicted model, not a curated record. The transcript has a single exon.